GCAGAUCCCCUCUCCUUAAUACAAAAACUCUCAACCAACUUUUAUCAACACUUAUGGUUUUGAAUCAGAGCCUGAACAGGCUCCUCCCAGACAGCUGCUCUAUGUGAUGUCUGCUGUCACAUCUUCACUUCUUUUUUAAACCUCAGUCAGCUCAGGAGAGGCAUCGUUUGGAUCUCCGUCACCCAAAGUCACAGUCACGUUGACCUCAGUGACCUAAAAAAAACCAAAACUCUGUGAUAUGAAGUUUGUUAUCUAAAUGCUUUUGAGUUUUAUUUUGAAGCCGUCAAAAUGAUCGCUUUUUUCUUUUUCUGUUGCCUGGCAGGUGUGUGUCUGGGUUUCGAGGUCCGUCAGUCUCCCUCUGAGCUCGUCACACAACCUGGUGACACAGUGCAGAUUUUCUGCAGCCAUGAUAAAACUGACCACAGAGUGAUGCUCUGGUACCAGCGGCCACCUGGAGACACAGCUAUGAAACUCAUGGGAUACUUGCACUACAAAGCUGUCAACAUGGAAGAGUCAUACAAAGAUAAUUUCACCAUGUCCGGAGAUCUGGGUGGAGAUGCAAAGAAUGGUUCUCUAAUCAUCCAAGUCACAGAACUGAAGCAGAGUGCAGUUUACUACUGUGCAGCUAGCAAAGCACGCUGA
This is a non-coding RNA of Acanthopagrus latus (yellowfin seabream), 642 nucleotides long. The record is from the annotation of a RefSeq genome assembly. Lineage: Eukaryota; Metazoa; Chordata; Actinopteri; Spariformes; Sparidae.